UAUACAUCAUUUGCAUAUCAAGUACGAGUUCGAAACUCAUCACCUUAGUGCGGGGCGCAGAUCUUCGCAUCUGAACCUUGUGGACUUAAGGAUUGCUUGCAGCUGCAUAAGGUGUUGGGCCUCUACAGUUGGUUCACUCGAAGUCCUAUGCUGAUCUAUUUCUCUGAAAAUGCUAGCUCGCAUAGAAACUACUGAAGAUGGU
This 202-nucleotide long non-coding RNA is filed under the name Elaeis guineensis (African oil palm). RNAcentral describes it as "long non-coding RNA (EGUI_LNC072950)". Lineage: Eukaryota; Viridiplantae; Streptophyta; Magnoliopsida; Arecales; Arecaceae. The record is from RNAcentral.